Molecule: long non-coding RNA, 1148 nt
Organism: Cavia porcellus (domestic guinea pig)
Lineage: Eukaryota; Metazoa; Chordata; Mammalia; Rodentia; Caviidae
Exons: 2
Source: RefSeq, a predicted model, not a curated record
UUCUCUACGAAAAAGUUGAAGAGCAGAGGCUGAGGAUGGUGAACGGGGGCAAAAAGCAGUGUGCGUCCCGGCAUCUGAGUCUGAGCGCGCCGGGCAGGCGCUGCUUUCCGUGCGCGUAUGCAGAGCGGAUUCGGACAGGACAAGCCAGGACAGCAGGGUCCCAGCAGAGCGAACUCAGCCCCAGAUGAAAGGCUGAGGCAGCCACGCGAAGGGUACCACAGCACCCCACCCACAGAUAGGGAAAGCCCGGUCAAGAACGAGGAGGCUGUUACCCAAGACACAGAAGUCGCCGGGUACAGCUGAGCUGCAGCCUGUGCGCGGCGGGAGGAGCGAGGGCGCGCGAUCGCUGCGGAGGUCCACGAGUGUCCCAGCGCCAGGAGCAACAGUAGCGGACCCAGGCUUCUGCACAGUUGCCCCCCGGCCGCUCCUCCCCGGCUCGAAGGAGGCGGCGGCACCAUCAGGGUAGCUCCGGCUUCUCCUCGCGCCCGAGCUCGCUCACCCCGCCCUGAGCUCUGCUUCCCCGCCGCGGCCGCCGCCGUCCCUCUCCCCGGAAGGGGGCGCCGGAGAGCAGGGGCGCUUGCGCCACCUGCGCGCGUCUCAGGGGCUCGGGACGCGGAGCGGCCGGGGCUGGGUGCGGUGGAGGAUCCGGCUAACCCGAGUCGGAUGCUGACUGCAAACUCCGCACCGAGGCAGGUACGCGUGGUUCUCGCCCGGCGCGAGGAUCCGGGACCCGCGGCGCUCCCGCUGAACUGACGCACUGGUUCCCCCAGGCUCGGGCUGUCCUCAGUCGUCCCUCUUCCUUCUCGGAGAGGAGCGCAGGGUGUGGUGAGCAGGCGUUGUUUGCAGUUGUACUAGGGUCGCACGCCUAGGAGAGGGAGGAGCCGGUUCUCACCGCGGGAGGGGGAGGGGAGGCGAGGGGUGGAAUAGGCUUCUUUCCUGUUGUCUGUUCAUUUCCAAAGCCCAAGGCCAAGCCCAAGUUUGCGUUUUCCUAGUGCGAACCUACACCGCGCUUCUCAGUGAUCACAGGUUUUAUUUUUGCCCUCGGAAUAUGGAAAGAAGGAAGGAGUUGAGAGGCUACAGAGGACUUCCCAAAUCGCUUUUUGCAAACCUGAUGCAACCCUACCAAUAAAAUGUAGUCUUCAUUAAAA